UACGUAGGUGGCAAGCGUUACUCGGAAUCACUAGGCGUAAAGCGCAGGUAGGCGGUUUGGUAAGUCUGUUGUGAAAGCUCCCGGCUCAACUGGGAGAGGUCAACGGAAACUACCAGGCUGGAGUGUGGUAGAGGUAGCUGGAAGUCCCGGUGUAGCGGUGAAAUGCGUAGAUAUCGGGAGGAAUACCUAUGGCGAAAGCAGGCUACUGGACCAUCACUGACGCUGAUCUGCGAAAGCUAGGGGAGCAAACAGG
This 253-nucleotide ribosomal RNA is filed under the name uncultured bacterium. RNAcentral describes it as "partial 16S ribosomal RNA". It matches the Rfam family "Bacterial small subunit ribosomal RNA", at positions 524 to 776 of the family's 1533-position model. The record is from RNAcentral.